RNAcentral lists this ribosomal RNA (112 nucleotides) under Streptococcus vestibularis. Its description in RNAcentral is "partial 23S ribosomal RNA". It matches the Rfam family "Bacterial large subunit ribosomal RNA", at positions 1 to 112 of the family's 2925-position model. The record is from RNAcentral. RNAcentral also lists the same sequence under 1 other name. Lineage: Bacteria; Bacillati; Bacillota; Bacilli; Lactobacillales; Streptococcaceae.
GGUUAAGUUAAUAAGGGCGCACGGUGGAUGCCUUGGCACUAGAAGCCGAUGAAGGACGUGACUAACAACGAAAUGCUUUGGGGAGCUGUAAGUGAGCAAUGAUCCAGAGAUG